RNAcentral lists this ribosomal RNA (409 nucleotides) under Staphylococcus epidermidis. RNAcentral's name for it is "partial 23S ribosomal RNA". It matches the Rfam family "Bacterial large subunit ribosomal RNA", at positions 1 to 403 of the family's 2925-position model. The record is from RNAcentral. Lineage: Bacteria; Bacillati; Bacillota; Bacilli; Caryophanales; Staphylococcaceae.
GAUUAAGUUAUUAAGGGCGCACGGUGGAUGCCUUGGCACUAGAAGCCGAUGAAGGACGUUACUAACGACGAUAUGCUUUGGGUAGCUGUAAGUAAGCGUUGAUCCAGAGAUUUCCGAAUGGGGGAACCCAGCAUGAGUUAUGUCAUGUUAUCGACAUGUGAAUUCAUAGCAUGUCAGAAGGCAGACCCGGAGAACUGAAACAUCUUAGUACCCGGAGGAAGAGAAAGAAAAAUCGAUUCCCUGAGUAGCGGCGAGCGAAACGGGAAGAGCCCAAACCAACAAGCUUGCUUGUUGGGGUUGUAGGACACUCUAUACGGAGUUACAAAAGAACAUGUUAGACGAAUCAUCUGGAAAGAUGAAUCAAAGAAGGUAAUAAUCCUGUAGUCGAAAACAUAUUCUCUCUUGAGUG